Molecule: ribosomal RNA, 409 nt
Filed under: uncultured Butyricimonas sp.
Lineage: Bacteria; Pseudomonadati; Bacteroidota; Bacteroidia; Bacteroidales; Odoribacteraceae
Description: bacterial SSU rRNA
Rfam family: Bacterial small subunit ribosomal RNA
Source: RNAcentral
UGAGGAAUAUUGGUCAAUGGGCGAGAGCCUGAACCAGCCAAGUCGCGUGAGGGAAGAAUGGUCUAUGGCCUGUAAACCUCUUUUGUCAGGGAAGAAUAAGGAUGACGAGUCAUUCGAUGCCAGUACUUGACGAAUAAGCAUCGGCUAACUCCGUGCCAGCAGCCGCGGUAAUACGGGGGAUGCGAGCGUUAUCCGGAUUUAUUGGGUUUAAAGGGUACGCAGGCGGCGCGCCAAGUCAGCGGUCAAAGUUCCGGGCUCAACCCGGUGUCGCCGUUGAAACUGGCGUGCUCGAGUGCGUGCGAGGAAGGCGGAAUGCGUUGUGUAGCGGUGAAAUGCAUAGAUAUGACGCAGAACUCCGAUUGCGAAGGCAGCUUUCCAGCGCGCUACUGACGCUGAGGCACGAAAGCGU